AGAGCGAACGCUGGCGGCGUGCUUAACACAUGCAAGUCGAGUGCGCGCCUGUAGCAAUACAGGUGGCGCACGGCGCACGGGUGCGUAACACGUGGGUAAUCUGCCCUUCGAAGGGGAAUAACUCGCCGAAAGGCGAGCUAAUUCCGCAUAACAUUCCGAGAACUUCCGUUUUCGGAUUCAAAGGCGUAAGUCGUCGGAGGAGGAGCCCGCGCACGAUUAGCUAGUUGGUGAGGUAAUGGCUCACCAAGGCUAUGAUCGUUAGCUGGU
Molecule: ribosomal RNA, 267 nt
Filed under: uncultured bacterium
Lineage: Bacteria
Description: partial small subunit ribosomal RNA
Rfam family: Bacterial small subunit ribosomal RNA
Source: RNAcentral